UGAGGAAUAUUGCACAAUGGGCGCAAGCCUGAUGCAGCAACGCCGCGUGCGGGACGAAGGCCUUCGGGUCGUAAACCGCUUUUCUGGGGAAAGAGCAAGGACGGUACCUCAGGAAUAAGUCUCGGCUAACUACGUGCCAGCAGCCGCGGUAAAACGUAGGAGGCGAGCGUUAUCCGGAUUUACUGGGCGUAAAGCGCACGCAGGCGGCUCUGUAAGUUGGACGUGAAAGCUCCCGGCUUAACUGGGAGAGGUCGUUCGAUACUGCGGGGCUUGAGGUUGGGAGAGGGGUGCGGAAUUCCCGGUGUAGUGGUGGAAUGCGUAGAUAUCGGGAGGAACACCAGUGGCGCAAGCGGCGCCCUGGCCCCACACCUGACGCUGAGGUGCGAAAGCGUGGGUAGCAAACAGGAUUAGAUACCCUGGUAGUCCACGCCGUAAACGAUGUCAACUGGGUGUCGGUAGUUUUACACUAGCGGUGCCGAAGCUAACGCGUAAGUUGACCGCCUGGGGACUACGGCCG
RNAcentral lists this ribosomal RNA (517 nucleotides) under uncultured Chloroflexota bacterium. RNAcentral's name for it is "bacterial SSU rRNA". It matches the Rfam family "Bacterial small subunit ribosomal RNA", at positions 355 to 888 of the family's 1533-position model. Lineage: Bacteria; Bacillati; Chloroflexota. The record is from RNAcentral.